Molecule: ribosomal RNA, 843 nt
Filed under: Fructobacillus durionis
Lineage: Bacteria; Bacillati; Bacillota; Bacilli; Lactobacillales; Lactobacillaceae
Description: partial 16S ribosomal RNA
Rfam family: Bacterial small subunit ribosomal RNA
Source: RNAcentral
UCGUACGAACAGCGGAAAGUGCUUGCACUUUNCAAGUNAGUGGCGAACGGGUGAGUAACACGUGAAUAACCUNCCUCAAAGACNGGGAUAACCNUUGGAAACAGNGNCUAAUACCGGAUAAAACNNAGUNNCACAUGCUACAAGGUUAAAAGNUGCNUUUGCANCGCUUUAAGAUGGAUUCGCGGUGCAUUAGUUAGUUGGUGAGGUAAAGGCNCACCAAGACAAUGAUGCAUAGCCGAGUUGAGAGACUGACCGGCCACAUUGGGACUGAGACACGGCCCAAACUCCUACGGGAGGCUGCAGUAGGGAAUCUUCCACAAUGGGCGCAAGCCUGAUGGAGCAACGCCGCGUGUGUGAUGAAGGCUUUCGGGUCGUAAAGCACUGUUGUAUGGGAAGAACNGGUUUAANAGGAAAUGNUUNNNCNNUGACGGUACCAUACCAGAAAGGGACGGCUAAAUACGUGCCAGCAGCCGCGGUAAUACGUAUGUCCCGAGCGUUAUCCGGAUUUAUUGGGCGUAAAGCGAGCGCAGACGGUUNNNUAAGUCUGANGUGAAAGCCCACAGCUCAACUGNGGAAUGGCNUUGGAAACUGUCNAACUUGAGUGCAGUAGAGGUAAGUGGAACUCCAUGUGUAGCGGUGGAAUGCGUAGAUAUAUGGAAGAACACCANUGGCGAAANCGGCUUACUGGACUGCAACUGACGUUGAGGCUCGAAAGUGUGGGUAGCAACAGGAUUAGAUACCCUGGUAGUCCACACCGUAAACGAUGGAUACUANUUGUUNNANGGUUUCCGCCNNUUANUGACGAAGCAAACGCAUUAAGUAUCCCGCCUGGGGAGUACGACC